UUAAAGUCUAAUCUGCCCUAUGAGGGGUUAAAUGGCCGCGGUAUUUUGACCGUGCAAAGGUAGCAUAAUAAUUAGUUUUUUAAUUGAAAGCUGGAAUGAACGAUUGGACGAGAAAAUUACUGUCUCAAUUUAAUUUAAUUAGAAUUUUAUUUUUAAGUAAGAAAGCUUAAAUUUUAUUAAAAGACGAGAAGACCCUAUAGAGUUUUAUAACAUUUUAUUUAUAAAUUUUUUAGAAUAUUUUUGUUUGUAUUUUAAUUGUUAUUUUAUUGGGGUGAUAGAAAAAUAUGAUUAACUUUUUUUAUUAUAAAUUCAUUAAUAUAUGUUUAAUUGAUCCAUUAUUUAUGAUUAUAAGAUUAAAUUACCUUAGGGAUAACAGCGUAAUUUUUUUUUAGAGUUCUUAUCGAAAAAAUAGAUUGCGACCUCGAUGUUGGAUUAAAAUAAAUUAUUGGUGUAGAAGCUAUAUAAUUAGGUCUGUUCGACCUUUAAAAUUUUACA
Molecule: ribosomal RNA, 495 nt
Filed under: Tetraserica sp. LW1216
Lineage: Eukaryota; Metazoa; Arthropoda; Insecta; Coleoptera; Scarabaeidae
Description: partial 16S large subunit ribosomal RNA
Rfam family: Bacterial large subunit ribosomal RNA
Source: RNAcentral